CUGCAAUCAGAUAGUCACUGCCUACAGUGGUAGUUUAUUUUUGGCGUGCAAGUGUGUAUUCCUAUGUGUUAGCAGAGCUGCUACAAAUCAGUUUGUGCAGUCCCUGCGCUGCCCAAGACUUACUC
Pseudophryne corroboree (corroboree frog) is the source of this 125-nucleotide small nucleolar RNA. RefSeq annotates it as small nucleolar RNA SNORA24. NCBI's taxonomy places the organism in Eukaryota, Metazoa, Chordata, Amphibia, Anura, Myobatrachidae. The transcript has a single exon. The record is from RefSeq and is a predicted model, not a curated record.